UAGGGAAUAUUGGUCAAUGGGUGAGAGCCUGAACCAGCCAUGCCGCGUGCAGGAAGAAGGCCUUCUGGGUUGUAAACUGCUUUUGCCGGGGGAUAAAAUUCCCAUGCGUGGGACAUUGAAGGUACCCGGUGAAUAAGCCACGGCUAACUACGUGCCAGCAGCCGCGGUAAUACGUAGGUGGCAAGCGUUGUCCGGAUUUAUUGGGUUUAAAGGGUGCGUAGGCGGUCUUGUAAGUCAGUUCUGAAAUAUCCCGGCUUAACCGGGAGGGUGGGAUUGAUACUGCAGGACUUGAGUGGAGUCGAGGUAGGCGGAAUUGACGGUGUAGCGGUGAAAUGCUUAGAUAUCGUCAAGAACACCGAUAGUGUAGACAGCUUACUAGUCUCAAACUGACGCUGAGGCACGAAAGUGUGGGGGAUCAAACAGGAUUAGAUACCCUGGUAGUCCACACUGUAAACGUUGAUUACUCGCUGUGUGCGAUAUACAGUACGCGGCUUAGCGAAG
RNAcentral lists this ribosomal RNA (501 nucleotides) under uncultured Bacteroidota bacterium. RNAcentral describes it as "bacterial SSU rRNA". It matches the Rfam family "Bacterial small subunit ribosomal RNA", at positions 355 to 856 of the family's 1533-position model. Lineage: Bacteria; Pseudomonadati; Bacteroidota. The record is from RNAcentral.